AUGACCCGCCCCCGCCGCCGCCGCCGCCCCCGCUCGUCGGCGGCAACGCCCGCGGCCGUGGAGGACGACGACCUACUCUCCGAGAUCCUCCUCCGCCUCCCGCCGCUCCCUUCCUCCCUCACCCGCGCCUCCGCCGUCUGCAAGCGAUGGCGCUGCCUCGCCUCGGAUCCAGCCUUCUCCCGCCGCUUCCGCAUCCACCACCGCCGCAACCCUCCACUCCUCGGCUGCUUCCAGACAGGUACCGACGGCAUAUCCUUCGAGCCUACUCUGGAGGCCCCCAAUCGUGUUCCGCCCGGGCGCCUCUCCUUGCAGUUUAACUCCUUCGUCCGAUUACUCGGGUGCCGCCAUGGCCUCGUAUUAAUCUUGGACCAGACGCAGCAGCUCCUGGUGUGGGACCCCUUCACCGGCCACCAGCAUCGUCUACGCAUUCCCAGGAAGUUCGAUCCGAGCAAAUCCUUGAUCAACGGGGCGGUGCUCCGGUCUGCUGCCGGAGACGUCCACUUCCAGGUCGUCUUGGUAGUGGCAGAUUGUGACAAUAAGUUGCUGGCCUGUGUUUACUCGACAGAGACUGGGGUGUGGGGUACACUAAUCUCAACACCAAUUCCAUCCGGGAACUCCCUUCACACCAGGGUUUGUUGGGAGCCCGCUGUGUUAGUUGGGGAUUCCCUUUACUGGAUACUCGCUAGUACUACUUUGUUAAAUCUGCUCCAGUUUGAUUUGAAGAGGAAGAGCUUAGCCGUGAUACAGCUGCCGGCAGAUAAGUCUUAUGAUGUGCUAGGACGCUUUAUAAGUCCUGAAGGGCGCUUCACUGUCACGCGGGCAGAGGGUGGUGGGCUGGGUUUGCUCUCUGUGUCAGGCUUCACCGCGCAAUUAUGGAAGAUGAAGACCAGUUUCGAUGGCGUUGCAUCAUGGGGGAUGGAAAAAACUGUCCAACUGGAGAAGCUUCUCUCCAUGGAUUCAGAGGAUUACUUAAUCAUACAAGGGUACGCCGAGGACAAUAAUUUGGCGUUCCUGUGGACCGGCAGGAGCCUCUUCACGCUCAAGCUUGAGCCAUUGCAGUGCGAGAAACUUUUCGACACCAACAAUUGGCGUCGUCAUUAUCCAUUUGAAAUUGUCUAUGCUGCAGGCUUCCACAGCAGAGCAGGUUGA
Molecule: ribosomal RNA, 1149 nt
Filed under: Triticum aestivum (bread wheat)
Lineage: Eukaryota; Viridiplantae; Streptophyta; Magnoliopsida; Poales; Poaceae
Description: partial small subunit ribosomal RNA
Source: RNAcentral